This 253-nucleotide ribosomal RNA is filed under the name uncultured bacterium. RNAcentral's name for it is "partial 16S ribosomal RNA". It matches the Rfam family "Bacterial small subunit ribosomal RNA", at positions 524 to 776 of the family's 1533-position model. The record is from RNAcentral.
UACGUAGGGUGCGAGCGUUAAUCGGAAUUACUGGGCGUAAAGCGUGCGCAGGCGGUUUUGUAAGUCAGAUGUGAAAUCCCCGGGCUUAACCUGGGAACUGCGUUUGAAACUACAAGGCUAGAGUGUAGCAGAGGGGGGUGGAAUUCCACGUGUAGCAGUGAAAUGCGUAGAGAUGUGGAGGAACACCGGUGGCGAAGGCGGCAUCCUGGACCGGCAUUGACGCUGAGGCGCGAAAGCUAGGGGAGCAAACGGG